This 1017-nucleotide long non-coding RNA is filed under the name Populus trichocarpa (black cottonwood). RNAcentral describes it as "long non-coding RNA (PTRI_LNC001439)". Lineage: Eukaryota; Viridiplantae; Streptophyta; Magnoliopsida; Malpighiales; Salicaceae. The record is from RNAcentral.
CUUCAACUCGCUCCGGAAUAUGCAAGACAUCAAUAGAACUGUCAACCAAACAUAUUUUAUCCAAAAAAACAUGUCAGUGUUCAACAAACAAAACUUUCAUCUGUAAUCCUACUGUGAACAACAUCGACAUUAAUGGAUCAAGCUGUGAACAUUCAACAAGCCUAAACUUCAAGAUUGAGGGAAUAUAGAUACCCGUUGCCAAGACAACCAUUUUCAUUUGAGCCCCAUGUGUAUAGUUCACCACCACCUAUGACAAGGUAGUGAAAGGAAACAUGUUAGAUUACACUAAUCAUAAGUAUAUACAUCAUGUGUGUGUGUGUUGUUGUUGAGUCUGCUGCUGUUGUUGUUGAGUGUGUGAGAGAUCAAUUUUUUUCUAAAAUCUAGUCACCGGAACCAAUGGGUAUAAAGACAAUCCCUUUUAUGGGUCAGUGAAGAUGAAUGUAGUUUAGGCACUCCUCAACAGGUCUCUAAACAAAAAAUCAAGAAGAUUUACAUAAACCAACAUCAGGCUAAUGUUCUAAAGUCCAAUUUAUUCAUACCAUCCUUUUAGGAUCAGAUUGAUUAAACUAGGGAUUGACAAUCCUCCUGACAUGCCAACUGGCAAAAUAUUCAUGAAAUUUACCCAUGACGACCUGCAUCGAUUCCCUUACAAUGUCCCAAACAAUUAGAACAAAAGCACAGCGAACCUUUGGACCAAAGCUACUUUCGUUACUUCUAACUCAAAAUAUAUCUGCAAAUAUAUAUGUUUUAUUGGAAACAGAACAGUUAAUCGGUUCUUCAAUCAUAGAUCUAGAAAUAUCUUCAUGCUAAGACAAAACCUACAAAAUUGAGCAAUUCCAUCAUUACAAAAUCAAGCUUCCUGAUAAAUGACCACCUUUAUCCUCCAUAUCUUUAAUAAAAUUAUUCUUUCUGACAAUUAGCAUCCCUUUGAAAUAUCCUGGUAUAUUCCAUUCGUUCACCAUUUCUUUCUGACCAUUAGUGUCCUUUCCCAACUUCCUGUCUCAAGACCAUCAAUCU